RNAcentral lists this ribosomal RNA (394 nucleotides) under uncultured bacterium. Its description in RNAcentral is "bacterial SSU rRNA". It matches the Rfam family "Bacterial small subunit ribosomal RNA", at positions 505 to 898 of the family's 1533-position model. The record is from RNAcentral.
GUGUCAGCAGCCGCGGUAAUACAGAGGGUGCGAGCGUUAAUCGGAAUUACUGGGCGUAAAGCGCACGUAGGCGGCUUUGUAAGUCGGAUGUGAAAUCCCCGGGCUCAACCUGGGAACUGCACCCGAAACUACAUUGCUAGAGUAUGGGAGAGGGAGGCGGAAUUUCCGGUGUAGCAGUGAAAUGCGUAGAUAUCGGAAGGAACAUCAGUGGCGAAGGCGGCCUCCUGGACCAAUACUGACGCUCAGGUGCGAAAGCGUGGGGAGCAAACAGGAUUAGAUACCCUGGUAGUCCACGCCCUAAACGAUGAGAACUGGAUGUCGGGAGGGUUUGCCUUCCGGUGUCGUAGCUAACGCGAUAAGUUCUCCGCCUGGGAAGUACGGCCGCAAGGUUGAA